This 467-nucleotide ribosomal RNA is filed under the name uncultured bacterium. RNAcentral's name for it is "partial 16S ribosomal RNA". It matches the Rfam family "Bacterial small subunit ribosomal RNA", at positions 29 to 507 of the family's 1533-position model. The record is from RNAcentral.
ACGAACGCUGGCGGCGUGCUUAACCCAUGCAAGUCGAACGGAAAGGCCCUGCUUUUGUGGGGUGCUCGAGUGGCGAACGGGUGAGUAACACGUGAGUAACCUGCCCUUGACUUUGGGAUAACUUCAGGAAACUGGGGCUAAUACCGGAUAGGAGCUCCUGCUGCAUGGUGGGGGUUGGAAAGUUUCGGCGGUUGGGGAUGGACUCGCGGCUUAUCAGCUUGUUGGUGGGGUAGUGGCUUACCAAGGCUUGGACGGGUAGCCGGCCUGAGAGGGGGACCGGCCACAUUGGGACUGGGUUAGGGCCCGGACUCCUCCGGGGGGCAGAGGGGGGGAAAAUUGCACAAUGGGCGGAGGCCGGAUGCGGCAACGCCGGGUGCGGGAUGCCGGCCUUCGGGUUGUAAACCGCUUUCGCCUGUGACGAAGCGUGAGUGACGGUAAUGGGUAAAGAAGCACCGGCUAACUACGUG